GGAGUUUUGUUGUUAAAGUUUGCAGAACAGUACCUUGCUUUUGGAGAGGUCAGUGAGGUGUUAACCACUACAGAAGCAGUUGUGCUGGAGCGAAUGCAGAUAGCUUGCACCCUACUUGAACAUCGAGGGAACGCUGAGGACUACUGCAUUGUUUGCUCUAUGUUAGAUGCUGAUGCUGACCGCAGCAUGAUUGAAAUGGUGCAGUGUGAAUCUUGCCAAAGAUGGGCACAUUUUGCAUGUGCAAAAUAUAAAGAGAGCAAUCAAGAAUAUAAAUGCAAAAAAUGUAAGGAAAACACAUAACAACUUCAAAUAAAAACAGCUGUCUUUUCCCCUCCAUGUCUCUUUGUAUUCUUUGUCAACAUUAGAUGAUUGUGUGCUGGAGGCACGUUUUGAUAGUGU
Long non-coding RNA from Oreochromis aureus, 399 nucleotides. RefSeq lists it as uncharacterized. The transcript is spliced from 4 exons. NCBI's taxonomy places the organism in Eukaryota, Metazoa, Chordata, Actinopteri, Cichliformes, Cichlidae. The record is from RefSeq and is a predicted model, not a curated record.